AGUGAACGCUGGCGGCAGGCCUAACACAUGCAAGUCGAACGGAAGCAUAGUAAGCGCUCGCCCCUACCGGUGGCGACUGGCGGAUGAGUGACAAAUACAUCGCAUUCCUCUUAUUCUUGGGUGACAACGUAGGGACACAUACGCUACCACAGCAUAUGUCCUACGGCUGAGAUCAGGAGAUCUUCGGACUUUUGCUGUCUCAUUUAGCUGGAUCCGUGUCGGAUUAGCUAGUUGGUAAGGUAACGGCUCACCAAGGCGACGAUGCGUAGCUGAUCUGAGAGGAUGAUCGGCCACACUGGAACUGAGACACGGUCCAGACUCCUACGGGAGGCAGCAGUGGGGAAUAUUGGACAAUGGGCGAAAGCCUGAUGCAGCCAUGCCGCGUGAGUGAAGAAGGCCUUCGGGUUGUAAAGCCCUGUUGUUGGGAAAGAAAAGCAGUAGGUUAAUACCCCGCUGUUCUGACGGUACCCAAAGAAUAAGCACCGGCUAACUUCGUG
Molecule: ribosomal RNA, 497 nt
Filed under: uncultured bacterium
Lineage: Bacteria
Description: partial 16S ribosomal RNA
Rfam family: Bacterial small subunit ribosomal RNA
Source: RNAcentral